GAUGAACGCUAGCGGCAGGCUUAACACAUGCAAGUCGAGGGGCAGCGCGAUGUAGCAAUACAUUGGCGGCGACCGGCGCACGGGUGCGUAACACGUAUGGAACUUACCCUUUACUGGGAGAUAGCCCGGAGAAAUCCGGAUUAAUAUCCCAUAAUAUACGAAGUGGCAUCACUUUGUUUUGUAAAGCUCCGGCGGUAAAGGAUGGCCAUGCGCACGAUUAGCUAGUAGGUGAGGUAACGGCUCACCUAGGCUACGAUCGUUAGGGGGCCUGAGAGGGUUAUCCCCCACACUGGUACUGAGACACGGACCAGACUCCUACGGGAGGCAGCAGUGAGGAAUAUUGCGCAAUGGAGGCGAACUCUGACGCAGCCAUGCCGCGUGCAGGAAGAAGGCGCUACGCGUCGUAAACUAGCUUUUACCUA
This 422-nucleotide ribosomal RNA is filed under the name uncultured bacterium. RNAcentral's name for it is "bacterial SSU rRNA". It matches the Rfam family "Bacterial small subunit ribosomal RNA", at positions 28 to 442 of the family's 1533-position model. The record is from RNAcentral.